This 312-nucleotide unclassified non-coding RNA is filed under the name plant metagenome. RNAcentral's name for it is "partial contains 5.8S ribosomal RNA, internal transcribed spacer 2, and large subunit ribosomal RNA". The stretch from base 1 to 105 matches the Rfam family "5.8S ribosomal RNA", at positions 50 to 154 of the family's 154-position model. The record is from RNAcentral.
GAAAUGCGAUAAGUAAUGUGAAUAGCAGAAUUCCGUGAAUCAUCGAAUCUUUGAACGCACAUUGCGCCCUCUGGCAUUCCGGGGGGGAUGCCUGUCCGAGCGUCAUUACGCACCCUCAAGCCCGGCUUGUGUGAUGGGCCCCGGCGUCUCGUUCGCGAGACGGGCCCGAAAGGCAGCGGCGGCGUCGACCCGAUGAGCCCGAGCGUAUGGGGACUUCUGUCACACGUUCGCGGUGCGGACCGGCGCCUGCUUGACUUUUCUGAUUAUCCAGGUUGACCUCGGAUCAGGUAGGGAUACCCGCUGAACUUAAGC